Molecule: long non-coding RNA, 540 nt
Filed under: Linum usitatissimum (flax)
Lineage: Eukaryota; Viridiplantae; Streptophyta; Magnoliopsida; Malpighiales; Linaceae
Description: long non-coding RNA (LUSI_LNC004100)
Source: RNAcentral
UUAUAAUUAAUGGAUUGCUACUAUAAAUUUAUAAAAAAAAACAACACAUUUUUAUUCAUUCAUUGCGCAUAUAUAUCAUAUAGAGAGCUCUCAGAGUUCAUCAAACGAUAAGGAAAAAGUACAGUUGGGUUUGGCAUGACAGAAGAAGAAGAAGAAGAAGAAGAAGAAGAAGCAAAUUAAUUGAAGGUUGAUAGAUAGGAUUAGGAGGUGUACGUAGUUGAUCAUACUGAGAUGGGUGCUGAAAGGCCAUAGUCAAGGCUCCACAGCUCAAACCCUCCAUUCACAAAGUCAUAGUAUCCUCCGUACAGCUUCAGUGUUUUGCUGCAGAGUCCAUCCCUCACAAAUGGAUAUGUCAGCAGAUUUGCCAGCGACACAUUCACCGCCUCCUGCAAUUCCAUUUUAAUUUUUUAAUUCACAUUCAGAAAUCUGUGUAACUAGUUAUAAUAAUAUCAAUACUAAGAAUUGAAAGCAAACCUUUUCACAGGUGGUGCAUUGGUCUCCAAAUCCAGCACUCCCAUUCUCAGCCAACACCUUCUUCUU